RNAcentral lists this transfer RNA (73 nucleotides) under Stegodyphus mimosarum. It matches the Rfam family "tRNA". Rfam says of the family: Transfer RNA (tRNA) molecules are approximately 80 nucleotides in length. Their secondary structure includes four short double-helical elements and three loops (D, anti-codon, and T loops). Further hydrogen bonds mediate the characteristic L-shaped molecular structure. tRNAs have two regions of fundamental functional importance: the anti-codon, which is responsible for specific mRNA codon recognition, and the 3' end, to which the tRNAs corresponding amino acid is attached (by aminoacyl-tRNA synthetases). tRNAs cope with the degeneracy of the genetic code in two manners: having more than one tRNA (with a specific anti-codon) for a particular amino acid; and 'wobble' base-pairing, i.e. permitting non-standard base-pairing at the 3rd anti-codon position. The record is from Rfam by way of RNAcentral. Lineage: Eukaryota; Metazoa; Arthropoda; Arachnida; Araneae; Eresidae.
GCCUUCGUGGUGUAGUGAUCAGCACGCUCGACGCAUAACCGAGAGGUCCGUGGUUCGAUUCCCGGCGAAGGCG